Molecule: unclassified non-coding RNA, 923 nt
Filed under: uncultured bacterium
Lineage: Bacteria
Description: partial contains 16S ribosomal RNA, 16S-23S ribosomal RNA intergenic spacer
Rfam family: Bacterial small subunit ribosomal RNA (bases 1-294)
Source: RNAcentral
AAAGGGCAGCAAACUCGCGAGAGCUAGCAAAUCCCAUAAACCGUGGCUCAGUUCAGAUCGUAGGCUGCAACUCGCNUACGUGAAGUAGGAAUCGCUAGUAAUCGCAGGUCAGCAUACUGCGGUGAAUACGUUCCCGGGCCUUGUACACACCGCCCGUCACACCAUGGAAGUUGGCCAUGCCCGAAGUCGUUACUCCAACCCUUGUGGAGGAGGACGCCGAAGGUGGGGCUAAUGACUGGGGUGAAGUCGUAACAAGGUAGCCGUACCGGAAGGUGCGGCUGGAUCACCUCCUAACAGGGAGACAACAAAAUGUUUAAUAUUAUUAUUUUGUCACCUUAGGUCGAUCGGUAUCUCACGUUCUUAAUUUGUUAAGAAUUUCAUUUCCUAAGUUUUUCUAGGUCACACCCAUUAUUUUUCCUGGGCCAUUAGCUCAGGUGGUUAGAGCGCACCCCUGAUAAGGGUGAGGUCCCUGGUUCAAGUCCAGGAUGGCCCAUAUCUCUAUGUUGGGGGUAUAGCUCAGUUGGUAGAGCGCCUGCUUUGCAAGCAGGAUGUCAGCGGUUCGAGUCCGCUUACCUCCACUGAUUACCACCUCUUCCAUAACCGGUAGAAAGGAAAUGUUUUGAGAUGUGAUCAUUAUUCUGAACGAAUCUAGCUUCCUAAUGAAAUCAUUAAGAUGCUGGAUUCAUUGAAUUAAUUUCAUUGUUUUCAGAGAACCUUGACAACUGCAUAGAUUAUUUUUAAAGACAAUAAGCAUCUUUAAUGAUGCAGAUUUAUUAUUUGUGCGAAUGCAUUAAUAACAAUUCUAUUAAGCUGAUGCUUCAAUUUAUGAAGUUAUUGGUCAAGCUACAAAGGGCUCACGGAGGAGACCUAGGCACACAGAGGCGAUGAAGGACGUGGUUACCUGCGAUAAGUCUCGGGGAGUG